AGAGUUGAUCAUGGCUCAGGAUGAACGCUAGCGACAGGCUAACACAUGCAAGUCGCGGGGCAGCAUAGAAGUAGCAAUACUUGGUGGCGACCGGCGCACGGGUGAGUAACGCGUAUGCAACCUACCUAUCAGAGGGGAAUAACCCGGCGAAAGUCGGACUAAUACCGCAUAAAACAGGGGCACCGCAUGGUGAUAUUUGUUAAAGAAAUUCGCUGAUAGAUGGGCAUGCGUUCCAUUAGGUAGUUGGUGAGGUAACGGCUCACCAAGCCGACGAUGGAUAGGGGAACUGAGAGGUUGGUCCCCCACACUGGUACUGAGACACGGACCAGACUCCUACGGGAGGCAGCAGUGAGGAAUAUUGGUCAAUGGGCGGGAGCCUGAACCAGCCAAGUCGCGUGAAAGGAAGAAGGAUCUAUGGUUCGUAAACUUCUUUUGCAGGGGAAUAAAGUGCAGGACGUGUCCUGUUUUGUAUGUACCCUGAGAAUAAGGAUCGGCUAACUCCGUGCCAGCAGCCGC
Molecule: ribosomal RNA, 516 nt
Filed under: uncultured bacterium
Lineage: Bacteria
Description: bacterial SSU rRNA
Rfam family: Bacterial small subunit ribosomal RNA
Source: RNAcentral